CAAUGCAGUCGAGGGGUAACAGGAGAUUGCUUGCAAUCUUGCUGACGACCGGCGCACGGGUGCGUAACGCGUAUAGAACCUACCUUAUAUUGGGGGAUAGCCCAGAGAAAUUUGGAUUAAUACCCCAUGGUAUGCUGAAGUGGCAUCAGUUUAGUAUUAAAGAUUUAUCGAUAUAAGAUGGCUAUGCGUUCUAUUAGCUAGUUGGUAAGGUAACGGCUCACCAAGGCGACGAUAGAUAGGGGUCCUGAGAGGGAGAUCCCCCACACUGGUACUGAGACACGGACCAGACUCCUACGGGAGGCAGCAGUGAGGAAUAUUGGACAAUGGAGGCAACUCUGAUCCAGCCAUGCCGCGUGCAGGAAGACUGCCCUAUGGGUUGUAAACUGCUUUUAUAGAGGAAGAAACCGCUCUACGUGUAGAGCUCUGACGG
This 430-nucleotide ribosomal RNA is filed under the name sponge bacterium IS16. RNAcentral describes it as "bacterial SSU rRNA". It matches the Rfam family "Bacterial small subunit ribosomal RNA", at positions 54 to 475 of the family's 1533-position model. The record is from RNAcentral.